Molecule: ribosomal RNA, 406 nt
Filed under: uncultured bacterium
Lineage: Bacteria
Description: partial 16S ribosomal RNA
Rfam family: Bacterial small subunit ribosomal RNA
Source: RNAcentral
AUUGAACGCUGGCGGCAGGCCUAACACAUGCAAGUCGAACGCGUCGCGGACGGGUGAAUAGUGUCUGGGACACUGCCUGAUGGAGGGGGAUAACUACUGAAAAGGGGAGCUAAUACCACAUACCAUCAUAUAUGCCCAUAUGGGAUUAGCUAGUUGGUGGGGUAACGGCUCACCAAGGCGACGAUCCCUAGCUGGUCUGAGGGGAUGACCAGCCACACUGGAACUGAGACACGGCCCAGACUCCUACGGGAGGCAGCAGUGGGGAAUAUUGCACAAUGGGCGCAAGCCUGAUGCAGCCAUGCCGCGUGUAUGAAGAAGGCCUUCGGGUUGUAAAGUACUUUCAGCGGGGAGGCGUUACCCGCAGAAGAAGCACCGGCUAACUCCGUGCCAGCAGCCGCGGUAAUAC